CCGGUCCUCUCAGCAAAGAAACUCCUUGACAAGGAAAGCUCGGUACCAAGACAGUCGUCAGAUUUUGGGUUUCCAAUUUUCUUAAUCUCUCAACAAUGGCGCUCGAGUGGGUUGUGCUAGGCUACGCUGCUGGCGCAGAGGCGAUCAUGGUCCUCUUCCUCACCAUCCUGGGCCUCCAUGGACUCCGCCGGGAAUGGUUGCAGUUACUCGUAAUCUCCUCAAGCCAUUCCUGUUGGUGGUGCCGUUCUGCCUGUUCCUCCUUAUGGAUAUUUACUGGAAGUAUGAGACGCGUCCGAGCUGCGGGGGCGAUUCCUGUACCACUUCCGAGCACCUCAGCCAGCAGAAGUCCAUCAUGAAGAGCCAG
This 364-nucleotide unclassified non-coding RNA is filed under the name Hevea brasiliensis (rubber tree). Lineage: Eukaryota; Viridiplantae; Streptophyta; Magnoliopsida; Malpighiales; Euphorbiaceae. The record is from RNAcentral.